UACAGGGGGUGCAAACGUUGCUCGGAAUUAUUGGGCGUAAAGCGCACGUAGGCGGUCACUUAGGUCGCAUGUGAAAGCCCUUGGCUCAACCGAGGAAGUGCACCCGAAACUGCUGAGCUUGAGUGCCGGAGAGGAUGGCGGAAUACCCCAAGUAGAGGUGAAAUUCGUAGAUAUGGGGUGGAACACCGGUGGCGAAGGCGGCCAUCUGGACGGUAACUGACGCUGAGACGCGAAAGCGUGGGGAGCAAACGGG
RNAcentral lists this ribosomal RNA (253 nucleotides) under uncultured bacterium. Its description in RNAcentral is "partial 16S ribosomal RNA". It matches the Rfam family "Bacterial small subunit ribosomal RNA", at positions 524 to 776 of the family's 1533-position model. The record is from RNAcentral.